CACAAUCAGAAUUUACAGUCAUGGUUAGAGCUAAUAAUAACCAUGGCAGGAUAUGAGCAUUUGUGCCGUUUUAUUGUGGGAACUUGUUUUGUUUCUCUUCCUUUCUUUGCAGCUUCAUGUAGCCUGGUCGGUGAGAGCAAAUGCUUCUCCAUGCCUCCUAGGAGGCUUUGAAGACUAGGUCCAGUGUUUGGGAUGAUAAUCACUUGAAUUUUGGCUCCUUGCUACCAUGUCAUUGGAAGGUGGCAAGACCCUAGAGAAAAAAUGCCUUGGAUGGGAACCUGGAAUGUGGACCACCAUUAAAAUUAAGUUUAUGGAAAAGAAAGAAACGCAAAAAAUCCAUUUAUGUUCCCACAUUGACCCUUUGACAAUGAGAAAGUAUUCAAGAGAAUCCUACCAUCUUCCUAGACGACAAAACUGGAGCUGCUUCAGAGCUAUCUGUCAGCCUCUGCAGACUGGCACUCCUAGCUAAUCCCCAGGGCUCCCGGGGCCAGGGUGUCGGAGAAGGAGAGUGGUUGUUUGGCACCUGUUAUUGGGCAAGGAAUGAGAGAAUGAAUUGCUCGACUGGAGGAAGCACAGGGUGUUAGGAGAGCAAAUAGAGGGCAUGCUCCUCCCAGGCAUAAAACCAAAGAAGAUUGUCCAGAGGAUGCCUAAGCUGAGUUCAGAGGAUGGCCGAAAGUAAGAAUCAUCAACCAACCACUUCAGGUUUCUGGUUCCACAAGUAAGGUGCUUGGAAAUUGCCACUUGCUCCACUAUAACAAGUAAAAAGCUGAACAAACUGAAGAAGUGACAACUCUUAGAUUCAUAAGAGAUGUGAAGUCACAGGCCAUACUGCUGCGUCCAAAAUUAGAGAGACAGAAAGGUGAAUACAGAGAAUUCCAACUUAUCAGAGCAGAAUCUUGUGAGCAGAAACUCCUCUGUACUUAAAGGAUGCUCGAUGGGAACCAGGGCUGGGGUAGGAAAACCGGAGCUGUGAUUGACAGUUACUGGAUGCCCAGUGUGGACAAGUAUAUGCAAGAUAAGAGCUCCAGGGGAACCCAAUGUUACGGGGCCCAUACUCUUGUGAGAAUACUUCUAAAUUCAUUCUGUGAGGCCAGCAUUACCCUAAUAUCAAAACCAGACAAAUACAUUACAAGAAAGAAAACUGCAGACUGAUAUCUCUCAUGAGCAUAGACACAAAACUCCUCAACAAAAUACUAGUGAAUUGAACCCAAUAAUGUAUAAAAAGAAUUAUGUAUCACGACCAAGUGGGAUUUAUCGCAGGUAUGCAAUUCUGGUUCAACAUUUGAAAAUCAAGUAAUGUAAUCUAUCACGUCAACAGACUAAAGAAGAAAAUCUCAAGAUGAAAUCAAUAGAUGCAGAAAAACUAGUUGACAAAUCCAAUACCUACUCAUGAUAAAACUCACAGUGAACUAGGAAUGGAAGGGAACUUUCUCAGUCUGAUCAAGGAUAACAAUCUACAGCUAACAUCAUACUUAAUGGAGAAACUGGAAGCCUUCUCUUUAAGAUCAUGUACAAAGCAAGAAUGUUCCUUCUUACCAAUUAUUUUCAACUUAGUAUUGGAAGUCCUAGGUAAUGCAAUAAGAUGAGAAAAGGAAAUAAAAGGUAUACUGAUUGGGAAGGAAGAAAUAAAACUGUAUGCAAAUGACAUGAUCAUCUAUGUAGAAAAUCUGAAAGAACUGAUUAAAAAAACAAAAACACCUCCUGGUAAUAAUAAGAAAUUAGAACAAGGUUAAAAGACAUAGGUUACUAUACAAAAGUCAAUUGCUUUCCUAUAUACCAGCAAUAAACAAGCAGAAUUUGAAACUGAAAACACAGUACUACUUACAUUAGCAUCCCCCCAAAUGAAAAACUUAGGUAUAAAUCUAACAAUGUAUGUAUAAGAUUGAUGUAUAAGUUCUUCUAUAUAAUCUCUGAAGGGGUUACAUAACCAGGAAAAUACAUAAAAAACAUAAAUGAGUAUGCACUGAGACAUAGAACUUCAAAUACAGGAAGCAAAAGUUGACUGAAUGAAAGAGGUAGGUAAACAAUUCCACAAUCAUUGUUAGAGAUUUUAAUACCUCUUAUAUCAGCAAUUAAUCAUAGAAGAACUAGACA
Camelus dromedarius (Arabian camel) is the source of this 2094-nucleotide long non-coding RNA. The record is from Ensembl. Lineage: Eukaryota; Metazoa; Chordata; Mammalia; Artiodactyla; Camelidae.